Molecule: long non-coding RNA, 613 nt
Organism: Thalassophryne amazonica
Lineage: Eukaryota; Metazoa; Chordata; Actinopteri; Batrachoidiformes; Batrachoididae
Exons: 4
Source: RefSeq, a predicted model, not a curated record
CCGUGUUCUGGCAAAAAGAAAGAAAUCAUUCAAGGAUGGUGAAAUUGUGAAAGAAGCUUUCGUGGAAGCUGCAGAUGUGCUCUUUGCCGACUUUAACAAUCAGAAGGAGAUCGUGUCUGCAGGAUGUGCAGCUCUUAAGAAAGUCUGUUGCACGACGAUGCGAGUUAAUGGCGGAGGAUAUUGAUCGGCAACUGAGGAAUGAUAUUGAGAUGGUACACAGCAACGACUCGACAGACUGGAGUCAAAGGUGGACCGCAUACUACAACUACUGGUGAGGAAUCAGGCUGCUGAAGAAGCUGACUGCAUUGGAGAUAAUGCAGGCCAGACUUAAAACAACGGAGGAGCUGGACCAAUUCAGCAAAACGCUGGAGGACCAGGAGUUUAGGAGGACAGUGGUGAAUCUGCUGAAACAGCUAUCUGGAUCAAUGCUGAACUCCUUUGCCAGGACGAUGCUCGGUGAAAUUGGGAUGUGGCUGUUGUGGGCUGGCGUCAGCCUCAAAGGAUGGAAAGGGAAGAAAGCCCUGCAGCCUCUCACUCUCUAGAGUUUUGAAGAAAGCCUUCAGCAACAAGAUGGAAAUUUUACCAGAUGCUAUUGAUGAUGCGUUAACUGAAA